RNAcentral lists this long non-coding RNA (1722 nucleotides) under Homo sapiens (human). RNAcentral's name for it is "HSALNT0321930". Lineage: Eukaryota; Metazoa; Chordata; Mammalia; Primates; Hominidae. The record is from RNAcentral.
UACUUUUGUAUUUGACCACGUAAGACAAUUGGAUGGGCACCUAAUAUAUUUCCUGGUACACUCCUAUUGUGGUUGGUCUUCUUUAUCUGUAUGUCUAUCUUGUUCAGUCUGCGCUUCAGCUUUGCAGGAAAAUAGAAAUUUUUUUUUCUGUGCUUGUUUAUGCUAACCAUGGUGCCUACAACUGCAUCUGCUGCCUUUACACGGGACUGCAAACCUGUUUUUUUCAACCUUCUGUUUUAUGGGUGUGCACACCCAUAAAUCUCCUGUGGCUGGGUUAAGGGAACAUACAAGCAGCUCUUCAGCAUUAAGAAUGUGAUGGGAGAGAUUCAGGUAGAUUUGAACUGCCAUCAUCAAUCAAGACCAAGGAGAAGGCUGCUUUCCAGGAUGUACACAUGGCCUCUGUUUGCUGUUGCUGUUUUGCUUCUUUUAAGAGGUGAACCAAUAUAUGUAUGUCUGUUUCUACUGUCACUUGCAGCUCAACAGAACCCUGUAAUAUACAUGAACAAGUUUCUGGAAGUUAAGAGAUUACCCCAUAACAUCUUCCCCUGCCCCCAGUACAAGAAGCAUAGAAGUCUCCAAUGAAACUCAACCCAAAGAGGUGUUCACCAAGACACAUAAUAAUCAAAACAAACAAAAAAAAAACAAAGAAAAAAAUCUGAGGACAGCAGGAAAUGAAAUACACAUCACAUACAAAAGAGUGUCAAUAUAACUAUCAGCAGAAACUCUGCAGGCCAGUUGACAAUGGAAUCAUAUAUUAAAAGAGCUCAAGGGGGAAAAAAACCCUGACAAACAAGAAUACUUUAUGCAGCAAAUCUGUAUUUCAGAAAUAAGGAAGAAAUAAAAAUGUUACCAGACAAAUAAAAGCUAAGGAAGAUCAUCACCACCAGACCUACCUUACAGAAAUAACUAAAGAAAAUUCUUUAAGCUGAAAAAAGGCUGCUAAUUAAUAACAUAAGACAUACAAAAGCAUGAAACUCAAAGAUGUAAGUCAUAUAGAGACACAUUCAUAAUACUUUAGGAUUGUAAUGAUGGCAUGUAAAGCAAUUUUAUUUCUAGCACAAGGAUUAAAAUAUAAAACUAUGAGUAUCAACUAUAGCUAAAAUAAAUUUUCAAGAGAUGCACAUUACAAAAUGAUGUAAAUUAUGACAUCAAAAACAUAAAAGGGAGCGAUAGUAAAAAUGUAGAGUUUGUUGCAUGCAAUCAAAAUUAAGUUACUAUCUGUUUUACACAGGCUGUUAUAAGUUCUGGGUAAGCCUCAUGGUGACCACAAAGCCAAAAUGUUUAGUAUAAGAACAAAACAAAAACAGAAAAAAUUCAAAGCAUACCACUACAAAAAACCAUCAAGCCACAGAGGAAGAUAGCAAGAGAGAAAGAAACAAAAUAUCUAUACAAUAACCAGAAAAUAAUGAACAGAAUGGCAGUAUUAAGUAGUUACCUAUCAAUAAUUACCUUGAAUGUAAAUGGAUUAAAUUUUCUAAUAAAAAGACAUAGACUGACUAAAUGAAUCAAAAAACAUGAUCCAACUAUUUGCUGCCUGUAAGAGACUCGCCUCACUUUUAGAGACAUACAUAGUCUGAAAGUGAAGGGAAAGAAAAAGAUAUUCCAUAUAAAUGGAAACCAAAAGAAAGCAGGCAUAGCUAUACUUUUAUCAGGCAAAAUAGACUUUAAGUUGAGAAAACUGUAAAUAGAGACAAAAAAGAACAUUAUCUAAUAAUAAAGGGG